GCAUAUCAAUAAGCGGAGGAAAAGAAACCAACCGGGAUUGCCUCAGUAACGGCGAGUGAAGCGGCAAGAGCUCAAAUUUGAAAGCUGGCCCCUCCGGGGUCCGCAUUGUAAUUUGCAGAGGAUGCUUCGGGCUCAGCCCCCGUCUAAGUGCCCUGGAACGGGCCGUCGGAGAGGGUGAGAAUCCCGUCUGGGACGGGGUGCCUGGGUCCAUGUGAAGCUCCUUCGACGAGUCGAGUUGUUUGGGAAUGCAGCUCUAAAUGGGUGGUAAAUUUCAUCUAAAGCUAAAUACUGGCCGGAGACCGAUAGCGCACAAGUAGAGUGAUCGAAAGAUGAAAAGCACUUUGAAAAGAGAGUUAAACAGCACGUGAAAUUGUUGAAAGGGAAGCGCUUGCGAUCAGACUCGCCUGCGGGGUUCAGCCGGCAUUCGUGCCGGUGUACUUCCCCGUGGGCGGGCCAGCGUCGGUUCGGGUGGCCGGUCAAAGGCCCCGGGAAUGUGUCGCCCUCCGGGGCGUCUUAUAGCCCGGGGUGCCAUGCGGCCUACCUGGACCGAGGAACGCGCUUCGGCUCGGACGCUGGCGUAAUGGUCGUAAGCGACCCGUCUUGAAACACGGACC
This 614-nucleotide ribosomal RNA is filed under the name Monascus pilosus. RNAcentral's name for it is "LSU rRNA". It matches the Rfam family "Eukaryotic large subunit ribosomal RNA", at positions 38 to 667 of the family's 3401-position model. Lineage: Eukaryota; Fungi; Ascomycota; Eurotiomycetes; Eurotiales; Aspergillaceae. The record is from RNAcentral. RNAcentral also lists the same sequence under 1 other name.